RNAcentral lists this unclassified non-coding RNA (2152 nucleotides) under Hevea brasiliensis (rubber tree). Lineage: Eukaryota; Viridiplantae; Streptophyta; Magnoliopsida; Malpighiales; Euphorbiaceae. The record is from RNAcentral.
UUCAAUGCUACUAAAAAUAAUUCUGAUGAAAGCAGGUUGACAGUAGUGCCCAUGUACUUAACUGAGGAUGCCAAGUUGUGGUGGCGUACGAAAGUGGAAGAAACUAUAUCCGGGCAGUGCUCAAUUGCUAGUUGGGAUGACUUUAAAAGGGAACUAAAAGCGCAAUUUUACCCUGAGAAUGUUGCCUAUAACGCACGGUGCAAAUUAAAUGAUUUACAGCAAACAGGUUCCAUUCGGGAGUAUGUAAGGGAAUUCUCGACAUUAAUGCUAAAUAUCAAGGAUAUGACAGGGACAGAUAGGCUAUUCAACUUUCUAAAAGGUUUGAAACCUUGGGUGAAGAACGAGUUGAUGAGACAGAAUGUGAAAGAACUAAAGACAGCCUUGGCCAUAGCAGAAAGUCUAGAUGAUUAUUCUGCUAAUACUUCUAAAAGGAAGUUUGAUUCCUCACCAAGCCUAGACAAUCGCCCUAAAUGGGGCAAGUUUUCAAGUGGGGGAGUGAACAAGGAUUACUCCCCAUUUGAAGGGACAAAAAGUAAGAGUUGGGGCUUUAAGACUAGAGCAGAUAGGCCAACCAAUUUAGGGAGAGAGCCAAAUGAGAGAGGAUCAUGGAAUGACCAAUCCCCGAGAAUAAAUAGCAUGAUAAUGACUGAGCCUAAACAAUGGAAAUGCUACCUUUGUGAUGGAUCACAUCGUUUCACUGAUUGCCCACAUAAGAGUACAUUUAAUGUUUUACGAGCAAUUCGAGAAGAGGAGAAAGGCCUCAAAGGAAAGGAACAAAGGGAAGAUGAUAGUACUCCAUCAAUGGUAGGUGCCAUACGCUUUCUUGGAGCUCUGAAGAAGCAAAAACAUAAACCAUCCACUGAGAAAGGAUUGAUCUAUGUUGAUUUAUGGAUUAAUGGGAAAGCAGCAAGAGCUUUAGUAGACACUGGAGCCACUGAUAAUUUCAUAGCUGAUAGGGCAGCAUUACAGUUUCAGCUGAACAUGCAAGAAGAUACAGGGAAGAUCAAAGCAGUUAACUCUAAGGCAACAAACAUUGUGGGAGUGGCUCGCAGAGUAUCUUGUCAGAUGGGGCCUUGGAAUGGUGAGAUUGAUUUUACAGUAAUCCCUCUCGAUGAUUUUGAUGUGGUGAUUGGAAUGGAAUUUCUGAAGAAAGCACGGGCCAUCCCCAUUCCAAUAGCAGACUGUCUCUUAUUGAUGGGGGAUAAACCUUGCAUCGUCCCGACAAACUUUAUUUCCAUUUGCGAAAAGAAAUUGAUAGCUUCUCUUCAGCUCACAAGGAGUGCUAAAAAUACGGAACCAACUCAUACAAGAGACAAACAUGAAAUCAUUAUUGUGACCUGGUAUGAUAACUAUAAACUUCUUGUUAUGCCUUUUAAACUAAUAAAUACUUUGGCUACUUGUUGCAUUAUAGCAAACCAGGUGUUUCGGAAGACGCAAGACAACUUCCUAAGCUAUGAAUCCCAACAGAGUAGAGAUCACACCACAUCCUACUUCUUAAAGGAGUGGGAUCAAGAUGGAGAAGAGACAAGGGUCCAAUUAGAACAAGCAUCAAAUCAGAUGAAGGAUUGGGCAAUUGAAAACCAACAACAAGAAUCGCAAGCUGAGGAUCAAAUGAUGAUGAUACGACUACCAGACCAACUAACUUGCAGAGCAGAGUUAUCAAAAUGGAUGAAGAUUCAGUCACUUUGCCAUGCUACUAGUACAAAGCAACACCAUGCAGAAGAGAUAGAUCCUAGCCGUGAUAAAUCCACCAAAGCUGUAGAAGAAAAUCAAUCAGAGCAAGCUGUCAAAACUACCCAGAGUCAAGCAUACAAGGAGUACCUCAUCAAAUUAGAAACAUACACCCAACCACAAGGGCAGCACAGUGGAGGGUUCUUGCAAGUGCAAUCCUGGUUGUAAAUACGCACUGCACUCUUUUUCCUUCACCAAGGUUUUUCCCACUGGGUUUUACUUGGUCAAGGUUUUUUAAUGAGGCAGUAUCCCAUCGCGUAUCUUACAACCACAUGCACAUAAGACUGAAGAGUUGCCAUAAGCUUAGUCGACGAGGACGUCGACCGUUCAAGUGGGGGAGAAUGUAAAGGGGUUAGAAAGUUUAAGUAGUAAUAUGUAAAUUUUAGAGAUUAAAUGAGAUAUUUUGUAAUUAUUUUAUAUU